UCCAUCUUUAAUUAGUUAUUUUUUGCAUGUUUUCUUAGCACUAUCUCAGUGCAGAUAAACUAAACACAGCAGACACGAUGUUGUAGGACAGGCAAAAUCAGAAACGAAAGAACAGGCAGGAAGUCAGGGCAGGCAGCAAACAAUCAGAGAGUCAAGGCGCAGAAACUGAGUCAAAAACCGGAAUCAAAACAAACAGGAAACGCUCAGAAUGACUGCUAAAGCAAAUUGAGACUUCGCACUGAGGUCAACUUCAAGUUCGUAUUUAUACACGCCGGUUAAUAAAAACGGUUAUUAUUCUGGAGACGGCAUAAUAUUCUCUCCGUUGCUGGUUGGGAAGUGAGGCAGAACUUCUCCAUCAACAAACCCAAAAAGGACAAAAGGCCAGAGGAAUAAAGUCAUGUGGAAUUUCAUCAAUGAAGAUGAUUAUGUAAUCUAUAUUAAGAAGUCUGAUGAAGAGGUUUAAGACUUUAUUCAAAAUUAUUUUAAUAAACCAUUAUGUGAUAGAAAAGAUGAUAGAAAACGUGAUAGAAAAAUUGAGCAUUUUUGAAAAUGCUCAAAAACUAGACUCAAAAAAAUGAAACAUGGCUGUUGUUGGUUCAGAGAAUAUAAAUAAAUUUGAAGUAUAUAAUUACCUUUUACAUUUGUGCAUUCAAAUUAAAAUAUUUGUUUUGACAAAAUUAUAUAAAAAGUCAUUUUUAAAUUUUCAAUUCACUUAAAUGAAUGAAAUAGUUGUGUUUCUUCUGCAGAUAGAACGCACAUGGUUAAAUUUUCUCUUCUGAUUAACGCCAUUUUGUGCGGUUCAUUUUGUGUUUAUGCGGAGACACAGUUAAGAUACUUUACUUGCAUUUAUAUUGAGAUUUUCAAAGAUUAGAAUUGUGCAUUACAGAUUACAUAAUUUCCAGAUGUAUUUCACGUGUGUAAUUUACUUUUUCACAUUAUUAGUUACUCUGCAUUCCGUUUUUAUUCCUAUGUAAUAUUUUCCACUUUUUGCACUUUGAUAUAAUAUAAAUUAUCCCAUAAAAAGACAAAUUACUUUUUUCAAUUUUUAAUUAGUAGCAGUUUCCCCAUUUAUGUGUAAACAGAUGGCCAGGGUUAGCAUGAAGUGGUCGAAGAUUUGCCUUUCAUUGGUGAAUUUAAGAACAGAUGUCAGCCCUCUUUAAUGAGCGAGAGGUCAGUCUCUGUAACAUCAGCUAUAAUUACUUACAUGAUUGUUGUAAUUUUGAAGUAUUCACAUUUAUUUGGUUGGUUCAUUUGUGGUAAUGUUGUAUGCGAUCUGUAAGUGUUGGUGAAGACAUACUGUUAGUAUAUUAUAACACUGUAAGGACUGUCGCAAAUGUAACACUAACUGUAGUGAUUCGUUGUUUUUAAACUGUAUUAGGUAUCUGUGAAAUUCAGUAGGAUUACAACGAUCCCUUUGGUGUCCAAAUUCAUGAGUCAGCUCGAUCAUUUCUUAACUCAGCUCAUCAGUGUUUUCAGAAAGAAAGGAGGAGCAGCAGGACAGUAGAUCAACCACAUCCUGUCAGUUAUGGAUCAGGAUGUCCCCAUCAAAAAAAAAGACAUGAAUACAUCCUAAAAGCCCUCGUUGUUUAUGUGAAUGAAGACCCCUCAAACCUUGUGAAGAAGUACAUGGAUGUUGAACAUGUUGAAGUCCAAACCUUGAUGCGCAACACCACCCUAGGAAUCUACGUCAUCAAACCCAAAUGGGCACAUGCCACAGACCCUUACCAAGAUGUUGGCAUCAUAGUUGAAUUCAUCAAAAUACUUGAAAACCUAAACAAUGUUGCCAAUGCAUGUUCUAUAAUGCUUGGUCUAAUUUAUUUAUUAAACUUGGCUUACCCGCAAGACUUCAGAUACACAUUUAAACAUUUCAAAAGCUUUUUAUGGAGCUAGAUGGCAACAAGCUGUCAAACAAGGUCCAUGUCCUGAAAAAUAAACUUCUUUUGUAAGUAUUAACUUGAGGUAAGGUUCAAGAGGUGGUACUUAUGUUUCCUCAAUGGGGUUACACGGUUGGCUUGUUACAGUACAUUUGUUCCAGGACUGACCAUGUUACACUUUUUUCAUUAUUGAUCUCAUUUUAAAUACGCUUUAUUUAUUUCCCAAUUUAAAGGAGGCACAGACUGCAAGAGAGACUUUUCACCCACCUGAUUUAAUUUAUAGGCAAUGCUUUUAAUUUUUUUAUUUUAGUAUGCUUUUAAUAAUAAGAAAAUGAAAAGCAGUUUUAAAGAUACAGAUUUUGAACAAAAUUUUUGUUGGACAUUUGUAAAAGGUAUGUUCUUAAAUGCAUUAAUUGCAUUUACAGUGUAUUAGUUUUGCUUAAAAUACUAAGAGAAAACGGUGAGACAGUACUGAGUUUUGCAAACCUCGAUGCGCAACACCACCCUAGGAAUCUACGUCAUCAAACCCAAAUGGGCACAUGCCACAGACCCUUACCAAGAUGUUGGCAUCAUAGUUGAAUUCAUCAAAAUACUUGAAAACCUAAACAAUAUUGCCAGUACUGAGUUUUGCACAUAUUCUUGUUAAAAAUGUGUAGAAUUAAACCCUACAGUAUGUUUAAGUUGCAAUAGGAGAAAACAGUGAGACAGUGUUCAAAAAAAAGUUAAUUAAAUCCAACAUAUUUUUGAAUGUAUCUACCAAAGUCUUUAAUGGGAAAACAAAUAUAAUCAACAAGCAUUUGCUAUUUUAAAAACGACAAAUAAUGAAGUAAAUAAUGUGCAACGUGUUUUGAAGAGGGAAAAAAAAAAAAAACAACACAGAAGAAGAAAGUAUGAAUAAUGUUGUAAUGAACACGGGACAGAGCGGACCCAAACGCAGGAUAGCUAAAACAAACAGGGUUUAAUAACAAAACACGAAACAUGACACGGACUAGAAACAGGACAAAACCACAGUAGAUGCCGCGCUGCACCAGGCAACGCGGCACAGUUAAAUAGACAAGGUAAUACAAUUGGAAACAGGUGUGUGGAAGCGGGCAGGAAGAGACAAGGGGCGGGGCAGACACGUGACGAUAAACAUAAACAAAUGCACGUAGCCGUAAACAAAUGCACGUACAAAAGUCCUGGCAGAGUCCUAACAAAUGUUAUUGAAAUAAUCGGUCCUUUUGAUCCAAAGCAUGAAAAAGCACAUUAAGGACCUCUUAAUUAAAGAACUUAAAGAAAUGAAAACUUUUUCUGAAGUUUGGAUAAACACAACAAAUUGUUUAGAAUAUGUCAUUCCCUCCAGUCUCAUCUUCCCUGUUUGUAUAAUUGAAUCAAUUUAGCAAUAAUUCAUAAGAUUAAAAUGUAUAUUGGUUCCUCAAAAUAUUAUAUCUUUAUCAAAAACAUUGUUCUGGAAAGACAAUGAACUGACAAACUGGAAUCCUGACCAUAAAUUUCAGGUUCAAUUCAAUAUUACAGAAUUCAUAUUUAAAUGUAAAGAAAAUAAGAAAAUAAGAGUAAAGCAGCCUGUAAUAUAAUAAAAAACGUUCUGAAUAUUCAGGCUUAGAAAUGUCAUACAGCAAGUGGCAUCAGAAACAUCGGUAAAGUUUGAGUCCACACUGAGAGCAGGGAUGAAGAAGAUGAUGGAGAUGAUUGGGAGCUCUGAUAUUCAUAAAGAUUACAGAGGAGUAUAAGAGAUGGUGGACUGUAAGCGUGGAUGAAUAUUUCAACAGACAUGUAGUUCCAUCUGAUAUAGAACACAUACAGGGCCUUUAUCCUAAACUGGAGUUUUUCUAGGUUGAUUUGGCGCAAUGCUUGAAUUUUCCUAAUGAGGAAUAUUUGGAAUAAAUCUCGUUAAUGCUAAUUUGUCCCUUUGUGAUUUAUUGUUUCUUUAACAAUAUUGUUUCUUUAAUGUUUACCAGUGUUUCUAGAUCUAAAACAUUAUUACUCGUCAUUAUUCUAAUUUUACAUAAAAUGUUUUAUCCUCCAAAUAGGUUUACAGUAAGUGCUCAAAGCUGAAGAUGAGCAUUAUUUUUAGAAUAACAGCACAACAGGUUUAUAUUAAUGCACUCUGGAGUACUGCAGACACUCCAGACUAGAAAUAAACAGAUUUUUGGAAUCGCUGAUGAGGUGAAGUUUUCUGUUUGGAUAUGAUUGUGUACCAUUUAGAAGAAGAAGAAGAAGAAGAAGAAGAAGAAGGAUUCUAGGCUUGCUUAAUGGAGCUAACACAUGCAUGGAUCUUUCUGAAGUCACAGACAUCACUGGCCAAAUAAGUGACACCAGACCAUGUAAUGCCCCCCACUGUGCCUAUGAAAACAUUUAAUUGCUCAUUUGCUGAGGAACCAGUAUCACCAGCUGUUUUGACAGAAAAUCACCAGCUGUUUUGACAGCUGUUUUGACAGAGCACUUUUUUUUGACAAAAAACCAACAAGGAGGCAGAUAUCCUGUAAGGGAGCGGCACGCAUGUCAGCGUUUCUUGGAUUAUACAUAGUCUGCACACACAGUAUACUGUAUAAACCUUCCUUCUCUCCAUUAUGUCCGCCAGCUCUCUACUUUUCCAUGUAAUUGUACCAACGAUAAUAGUCCCUAUUCGCAGACAUAUACUCUAGCCUUUGCUCUUCUGUCUCUGUCUACAAACCCUUCUCCCGCCUCUCCUUCCUUGACCAACAGUAGUCCAAUUUCUGCCGGCACUAUGUAGGUGGCGAUUGUUAUUAACCUGGGCCUCGACCGAUUCACACUGAUGCUUCAUAUGUUUAAGUUUGGCACGUUUUAUGCUGGAUACCCUUACUGACGCAACCCUCUCUAUUUAUUUGGGCUUGGGACCGGCACAGAAGUCAUUGGCUUGCAACACCUGUGGCUAGAUUAAAUAUAUUAAUAUUACUCUAGUGGUAUAAAUGAUUAGAGUGGAUCAGAGGGACAUAUUUAUAUGAAUAUGAAUUCAACUGAAUACAUUUUUUGUAAGCAAAUGUUUAUUGUUAAUAAAACAUAUAUAACUAUACAGUGAAUUCAUUGUGAAUGUGGAUCACUUUUCAUUGCUUUGACACAAAAAUCAAUAAAUAAAAUUUUAAGCAUUUAAAUAUCAUGAAUUCUUUUCUCCCACAAACUCAACCUGCAACAAAACUCUGUAACUACUGCAAACAGGUUUAUAUCCUGUUGUUAAAACCAACCUUUUUAUGUUUAAAAUCAGUUUUUUCCCACUCUUUUCCAGUUUUCCAUCCCGUAUCUGGGUGACAUUCCUCAAAGGUUUCCUCUGGGUUCUUCAGUAUGUUCUCCACGACUCUGCAGAAAAGUGACAAAAGAUUCAAACCAGCACAAUUCCACAUAAAUAAAAUAUUAUCAUCAACAUAAUUAUUUGCAAAAAUAAACAGAAGACAUUGUUGAUUUGGAUUUAAUACACUGUAGUGUUCCUGUGUGACUGAAUGACUCAUUUCAAUCAAUUCAGCACAUCGGCGUCUUUUUAAACUGUGUUGUCUUUGGAACUUUCCAUGUUUUCAAUAUCUUUUUGAAAUUACUACAGAAAUAAAACUGAAAUAUAAUCUAGGAUUUCUGAUUUAUUCCUGUAACAGAUGCUGUAGUAGAUUCUGUGUAGUAUUGUAGUAAUAACCCUAUUGGGUUACAAUAUAUCGCAGUUGAGGUUUUUUUUUAGCUCGCUGUGUCAUGAAUAAUGACACAGCCUUGCUCAGAGAGCUCCUUUGCUAGAGUUUGGAUAGUUUUUUAUUACGAUUUGGAUGACAGGAUCCUGACAGGAAGCAGGACAGGUGGCUUCUCCAGAUUAUGAUGUGAUCAGUAAAGCCUAUCAUCCUCAGUGAGCUCCCUGAACUGCAGUCCACCUAAAGAAGCAAUGCUGGACCAAGAUAGUGAUGGGGCUCAGACAAUCGAACAUCUCACUCCUCUUUCUGUUGUGGUCUGGGAAGCACUUCUGCUCCCUGAAGGCCAGAACAGAAAUAAUGAGAAAGAGCUUCUUCCCACAGGGAAAUCAGUUCUGGUCCUCAACCACAACAACAACAAAACCACAAGAGAUCUUGAACUUGUCUGAAACAGCACACACAACCUCAGCCUGGUUUUACACAGCAUACAUCAGCCCACAUCUGCACCAUAUUCAAAAUAACAACAUACUGUUUUUGCCACUAUUCUCUGUGUUUCAUGAAUUAAAAUUUUAUAUUUUCUUUUUAUUUUUAUUUACCUGUAUAUAAGUAAAUUCUAUUUAU
Molecule: long non-coding RNA, 6118 nt
Organism: Tachysurus vachellii
Lineage: Eukaryota; Metazoa; Chordata; Actinopteri; Siluriformes; Bagridae
Exons: 4
Source: RefSeq, a predicted model, not a curated record